GGACGAAGAGGCCGAGAGGGGGGGGGCAGCAGUUUGCUAAAUUGUGGGAAGCGGGUUCGAAUCCUGUGUUCGUCC
Molecule: transfer RNA, 75 nt
Filed under: Amphimedon queenslandica
Lineage: Eukaryota; Metazoa; Porifera; Demospongiae; Haplosclerida; Niphatidae
Description: tRNA-Ser
Rfam family: tRNA
About the family: Transfer RNA (tRNA) molecules are approximately 80 nucleotides in length. Their secondary structure includes four short double-helical elements and three loops (D, anti-codon, and T loops). Further hydrogen bonds mediate the characteristic L-shaped molecular structure. tRNAs have two regions of fundamental functional importance: the anti-codon, which is responsible for specific mRNA codon recognition, and the 3' end, to which the tRNAs corresponding amino acid is attached (by aminoacyl-tRNA synthetases). tRNAs cope with the degeneracy of the genetic code in two manners: having more than one tRNA (with a specific anti-codon) for a particular amino acid; and 'wobble' base-pairing, i.e. permitting non-standard base-pairing at the 3rd anti-codon position.
Source: RNAcentral